AGGAGCCGUAUGAGGCGGAAGCUCCACGUACGGUUUUGAAGCCGAGCCUUUCCAGCGUUAAGUUCGACAACGGCUCGAGCUUUU
This is a non-coding RNA of Punica granatum (pomegranate), 84 nucleotides long. The record is from Rfam. Lineage: Eukaryota; Viridiplantae; Streptophyta; Magnoliopsida; Myrtales; Lythraceae.